GCACUGGCUGCGGCAGCACAGACACUAAAAUUGGAGUGACACAGAGGAGUUAGCAGGGCCCUUGUGCAAGGAUGACAUGCAAAUUCAUGAAGCCUUCCAUAUUUUU
This is a small nuclear RNA of Cercocebus atys (sooty mangabey), 106 nucleotides long. The record is from Ensembl. Lineage: Eukaryota; Metazoa; Chordata; Mammalia; Primates; Cercopithecidae.